RNAcentral lists this ribosomal RNA (497 nucleotides) under Anaplasma phagocytophilum. RNAcentral describes it as "bacterial SSU rRNA". It matches the Rfam family "Bacterial small subunit ribosomal RNA", at positions 81 to 613 of the family's 1533-position model. Lineage: Bacteria; Pseudomonadati; Pseudomonadota; Alphaproteobacteria; Rickettsiales; Anaplasmataceae. The record is from RNAcentral.
AUGAAGAAUAAUUAGUGGCAGACGGGUGAGUAAUGCAUAGGAAUCUACCUAGUAGUAUGGGAUAGCCACUAGAAAUGGUGGGUAAUACUGUAUAAUCCCUGCGGGGGAAAGAUUUAUCGCUAUUAGAUGAGCCUAUGUUAGAUUAGCUAGUUGGUAGGGUAAAGGCCUACCAAGGCGAUGAUCUAUAGCUGGUCUGAGAGGAUGAUCAGCCACACUGGAACUGAGAUACGGUCCAGACUCCUACGGGAGGCAGCAGUGGGGAAUAUUGGACAAUGGGCGCAAGCCUGAUCCAGCUAUGCCGCGUGAGUGAGGAAGGCCUUAGGGUUGUAAAGCUCUUUCAGUAGGGAAGAUAAUGACGGUACCUACAGAAGAAGUCCCGGCAAACUCCGUGCCAGCAGCCGCGGUAAUACGGAGGGGGCAAGCGUUGUUCGGAAUUAUUGGGCGUAAAGGGCAUGUAGGCGGUUCGGUAAGUUAAAGGUGAAAUGCCAGGGCUUAAC